UUUUUAAAUCUCCGAAAAGGUGAAGCUAUUUAUGUCUCGAUUUGCUAAGAAAACUUGAUGUCCCGAUCUGCCUGACUCUACCUUUGACUCUUCCUCACAACAACAAAUACGCCACCGGAAAUACGUCACCAUAGGGUGGGGUGCUAAUCUGUCUGCAUGCAGCGCCAUGACAUUUACCCAGGAAUUAUGGGAACAUAAUAAACUCUUAAUCAAAGAGGCAAUGACUUCUGCACAGAAUGGAGAGAGAUGCAUCCGAGUCUGGGUCCUGCCUCUGACUAACCAAUGACUGACAGCCAGCAGUCUCUCUGCCGUAACCAUGGUGACACCUGGUCUCUCAUGGACUCAACACUUGGAGACUUUAAUUGGAGUUUACUGAACUGAAUCAGAGUUCGUAGAAUUAGAGUGGCUUGUAUAGAUGAUAAAUUUAAAGAGAGAAUGAGAGAGGAAAAUAAAAGAUUUGAAUGGGUUUACAAGGCAAGAAAGUUUGAGUGUGAGUUUAAUGGCCACAGAAGAGGAUAAUGGAAAACCUGAGGUCAUGAGUGUUGUCAUGGCGAUAAUGAUGGAGGGAAAAGAUCAAAAGAUAUCUGGCAUGGUGGUGUGGCAUUCUGCGCUCGUGAUGAUUGGUUGAUUGUGCAUUGUAAUAUCUGCUGGUUUGUCACGGCAAACACAUUCGUUAAUAUUUAAAGAUGAUAAUGUGCCAAAGCAGUGAGCAGUGCAUGCUGGGUAACACAGAAAGCAUGGGCCACAGGGCUUCUCCUGGUUUGAGGUGGCAGGCAGUGCUGGAUUAAACCCCCUCCAUUCCUUCCAGAUCUUUCUUUCCUUCUGUAAACUGUUGUUUAGUUAUGUGUGGAUUUUGGUUUGCUAUGCAAAUUGUACAGUGGCCCAGUAGUGCACAAUGAAAUCUCCACAAGACAACAAAAUCUUCACCACACAACAGAAUUAGCACAACGCACAGAAACAAGCCACAGCAACAAAAUAAGCACAACACAUUGAAAUUAACACAACACACAGAAACAAGCAAAACACAAUUAAAUUAGAACAACACAAUAGAAACGAGCCACAAAAACAAAAUAAGCACAACACACAGAAACAAGCCACAACAACAAAAUUAACACAACAUUGAAAUUAGCACAACACAAACCACGACCAGGUCAGCUCCAGAGAAGCUGCUUGCAAAGGUCACCUUCUUCUUCACACAAUGAACAUACAUCAGAUGAGAUUGCAGGGUAACUUAAUAUGUUCAUCGUUAGGUAACACAUUUACUGGAUUUUAUUAAAAUAUAUAAUUUAAUAUGAAUGAAUUAACUCAAGUCAUUUAGAUCCAGUGACCCCUAGGAGGUCACAAGAAACAUUCAAGAGUAAAACAACAGAAAAUGUAUUUUAUUAGUAAGAAAUACAACUCAAAAGGACACUUGCUGGCUGCUUUAUUUCAACGUCUACUCCAAACCAUCCAUUAUAAAAAUAACUUCAAGAAUUUAAACAAAUAUUCUGAUCAUAAAUUAGUACAAAUUAGUGAGAAGAGUUUAAAUUAAGACACUUGUUUGGGGUCAGUACAUUUUUUCUGUUUUUGAAAGAAGUCUCUUUUGUUUUACCAUUUAAAAUAUCUGUUUUCUAUUUCAAUAUAUAUACAAAUCUUGAAUUUUCAGAACCCAUUACUCCUGUCUUCAGUGUCACAUGAUCCUUCAGAAAUAAUUCUGGAGGAUUUGGUGCUCAAUAAACAUUUCUUAUUAUCAUCAUUGUGGAAGACACAAUUCUUUGAUUUAUAGAAAUAUGACAUAACAUUACAUAAAAUUUGUUUGAAAAAGAAAUCUUUUGCAAGAUAAAUCUCUUCACUGUCUCUUUUGAUCAAUUUAACGCUUACAAGCUAAAAAAAAAAAAAAAUCAUUAUUAUAAGAUUUAUUUUACCUCCAAACACUUAUAAUAAUAAUAACACACAAUAAUAAAAUGUUUGUUGUUGUUUGCUACAAUGAAAGUAAAUAGUAUCUGAUGUUGCUUUGGACCCACUGACUUUUUAUUAUAUGGUCAAAAAACAACUGAAAAUGGCUUCAAAAUUUAUUCCAGAGAAGAAAUAAACUUUUUGGACAGGUUUGGAAGAUCAUGAGGGUGAGUAAUUGACAGGAUUUUGAUUUUGGGUGAACUAUCCCUUCACCAACUAUCCCUUAAUGUCCCAUCUUGUGCCAAUGAUGAGCUCCACAGCAAUCUUACUGACAUGGACACAAGUGUGCCUCCUUGGUUUGUAUGUCUCUCAUCCACAUUUGGCAUACAGUAGGUGUGUGUGUGUGUGUGUGUGUUUGUAGAUGAGGGUUGCUGUGCUAAGCAGGUGUGGUUACAGGAGGGGGUGUGACUGCUGACUGUGAGGUUCAGUGGAGUGAUCAAGAGCAAUUUGGGGGCGGAAAUCUGGAGGGACAGGAUGCGUGUGUGUCCAGGGGUUUAGAUUUUUUAGAUAGGCAAGACUACGCUUUCACUGGGGUACACACACACACGCCGCUACACACUUUGCGAGGCCACAGAUGUGCCAUGGUUGGGGGGUAGAGCCAGAAAAUCAGUGGUUAAACAAUGUGUUUGGUUGCACACGUGUGUGUGAGUACAAGCGAGUGUCUCUUAAGCUUGGUAAGACAGUUUUUAGUGCAGUGCUGACAUCAGGGAGUUCACUCAUGCGACGAUGGUAGCCUACUGAGAUUAAAAAAACUUUUUGCAUUAUGCAUGUGUGCAGACAGCCCAAAAACAUUACUAGGUCAGGCAUCUGACACGUGUUUAUGUGGGUUUGUGAGGAUUUAUCUGGGUUAAAUCUUGAUCCACCGCUUUGUAAGAGCAGUUUGGCAUCAAGACCCUCGAAAUGGUAAAGCACACAUAUAGUCUUUCUGACUGGUUGAACAAAUCAGCGUCAUUAUGUGCGUCACAUUUUAUAAAACACAAAAUGUUAUGAAUAGAUAAGAUGUGCAUGUUGGCCAUUUAGUUGUCUAAGAAAUCCAUGCUGAAAGUUGUGAAUUUGGAUGGGGAAAACUAACAACAGAGCAAAAGGGAAGAAAUUAGGACUAAAAUGUAGGCUAAUGCACAGUGUGCACGGCAAUGUAGUGUCUGCAAACUGUAGUGCAAACUGUCGGCAGAAGAAGGUUUUCUGACUGAAUAAUACAUGAACACAAUAUGUGACAGCUCUGUUAUUAUGCAUGAGACUCGCAGAGCUUGUUAACUUUAAAAAGCACAACUGUUGCCCUCAGACACUCCAGGGCUAAUGACUUUGAAACGGUUGAAAUGUUGUUGAAAUUACAGUGAACUGGCAGCUGAGGUUUCCACUGUUUUAUUUACCACGUGAAAUGCAGUGGCUGUGUUUCAUGCAUUACAUUAAUUUUGGUGAUCGUAUUUAAUAUUUUAUAAAACUAAGGAUAAUAAUAAUUACCAUCCUACAUAUAGGGUCAGGUUUCAGGUAAACUAGGGACAUUCAUGAGAUGACCCUGCAUUUAAGCGAUACAUGUAAUUUAAUGGAAAACACACUUCACU
Long non-coding RNA from Carassius gibelio (silver crucian carp), 3497 nucleotides. RefSeq lists it as uncharacterized. The record is from RefSeq and is a predicted model, not a curated record. The transcript has 3 exons. NCBI's taxonomy places the organism in Eukaryota, Metazoa, Chordata, Actinopteri, Cypriniformes, Cyprinidae.